Molecule: ribosomal RNA, 450 nt
Filed under: uncultured bacterium
Lineage: Bacteria
Description: partial 16S ribosomal RNA
Rfam family: Bacterial small subunit ribosomal RNA
Source: RNAcentral
GUGGGGAAUAUUGGACAAUGGGCGAAAGCCUGAUCCAGCCAUGCCGCGUGUGUGAAGAAGGUCUUCGGAUUGUAAAGCACUUUAAGUUGGGAGGAAGGGCAGUAAGUUAAUACCUUGCUGUUUUGACGUUACCGACAGAAUAAGCACCGGCUAACUUCGUGCCAGCAGCCGCGGUAAUACGAAGGGUGCAAGCGUUAAUCGGAAUUACUUGGCGUAAAGCGCGCGUAGGUGGUUUUGUAAGUUGGAGGUGAAAUCCCCGGGCUCAACCUGGGAACUGCCUCCAAAACUGCAUGACUAGAGUACGGUAGAGGGUAGUGGAAUUUCCUGUGUAGCGGUGAAAUGCGUAGAUAUAGGAAGGAACACCAGUGGCGAAGGCGACUACCUGGACUGAUACUGACACUGAGGUGCGAAAGCGUGGGGAGCAAACAGGAUUAGAAACCCGGGUAGUCC